GGACGCGUAGCUUAACUGGAAGAGCAUCACCCUGCGACGGUGAAGAGUGGCAGUUCGAAUCUGCCCGUGUUCACAA
Molecule: transfer RNA, 76 nt
Filed under: uncultured Cytophagales bacterium
Lineage: Bacteria; Pseudomonadati; Bacteroidota; Sphingobacteriia; Sphingobacteriales
Description: tRNA-Arg-GCG
Rfam family: tRNA
About the family: Transfer RNA (tRNA) molecules are approximately 80 nucleotides in length. Their secondary structure includes four short double-helical elements and three loops (D, anti-codon, and T loops). Further hydrogen bonds mediate the characteristic L-shaped molecular structure. tRNAs have two regions of fundamental functional importance: the anti-codon, which is responsible for specific mRNA codon recognition, and the 3' end, to which the tRNAs corresponding amino acid is attached (by aminoacyl-tRNA synthetases). tRNAs cope with the degeneracy of the genetic code in two manners: having more than one tRNA (with a specific anti-codon) for a particular amino acid; and 'wobble' base-pairing, i.e. permitting non-standard base-pairing at the 3rd anti-codon position.
Source: RNAcentral